UGGCCCAUAGCUCAAGGGUUAGAGCCCCCGUCUUAUAAGCGGGAGGUUCCGGGUUCAAGUCCCGGUGGGCCAA
This 73-nucleotide transfer RNA is filed under the name Candidatus Pacearchaeota archaeon. RNAcentral's name for it is "tRNA-Ile". It matches the Rfam family "tRNA". From Rfam's summary of the family: Transfer RNA (tRNA) molecules are approximately 80 nucleotides in length. The record is from RNAcentral. Lineage: Archaea; Nanobdellati.